CGCCGUAGUAAUCAUUGUUCUUAGGGAUGUCCUUGAAGGUGAAGACGGUCUUGAUCAGGUCGGACUGGAGAGCGCAGGUGAUCUCGCCGUCCUCGAGCUGCUGGAGGACGUGGAGCCAUGUGUCGCGAGUGCAGAGGAAGAAACCGAUCUUGGCUUGGUCGAGAUUGGUGUUGGAGAGGCGGAUCUUGGAGAUGUUGAG
Molecule: long non-coding RNA, 199 nt
Filed under: Linum usitatissimum (flax)
Lineage: Eukaryota; Viridiplantae; Streptophyta; Magnoliopsida; Malpighiales; Linaceae
Description: long non-coding RNA (LUSI_LNC000011)
Source: RNAcentral